AGAGAUACCACCAGCUUCUGAUGGUGUUACACCCUGGAAAUGGCAGUCCAGCUCUAGCUUCUGGAAGGCAACUGGCAAGAGGUAAGGAAGAGAUGGUGGGAAGGUAGCCCCUCUCCUUGUUGGGGAGGAGCUUUCAUCUUAUUCCAGUUCUCAGCAGUAGAAGCUAUGCCUGGAGACUUCCAGGUGUCUCCUGUCCUGGUUCCUGCCUUGUUCUUUCUCUUUUCCCUCAUCCUCAUUUAUGUUUUCACUCCUCCUUCUCCAAUAUUCCAGAAUAUUCAUUCAUCCAUUCAAUGAAUAGGCAUUUAUUGACCACCUCCUUUGUGCCAAUUGCUGUUCUUGAUGCUGUGGUAACAGCAAGAACAGGACUGAACCCAUCCCAAUUUCCAUCUGAGCUACUUCUAGUAGAGGCUGGCAAAUAACAAACAAGUAAAUAAAAUGAAAAGCAUAAUUUGGGAGAGUGAGAAGUGCUCCCAAGGGCAGACAGAAUGGAGAGGGGAGCAAAGAAAGGGAAGGAGGGUGGAGGAGAAAGGGCCCAGCCUCUUAGUGCCUGACUAGCCCUUUGCUGUGAAGGCUCACCUUUCACGCUUGGCUUCUCCCUGAAGCUGGGAGCUACUUCAGGCAGGAGCCAUAUUUGAUUCAGCUGUGUCCAAGGUCAGACGCAAAGCUUCCCCAAACGCUGUUGGGCAGCAGAUUAUACCACAGUGUCUUGAAAUACCUGCAUGGUGUCUAUGUGAGCAAGACCUGCUGCCUCCAAGUGUCCUGUCGGUUGUGUUAAUCACGUGCAUGGGAGGUGAGGGGUGGUAUGUACUUGGAGGGGGAGCCCAUAGCGAAGGGCAGGGGAGAGAGCCACCAACAGCUUCUCCACUCCUUUUAUGGGAUAAACUGGGUGGUCCCUCCAUGUACACAGGCUUCAUGCAGAGCUCUGGAUAUGCUGCAUUAGACCACCUUGUGCCUCAGUUUACUGGAGGGAUAUAACUAACCUCAUCAGGUUCCCUAGAGCAGAGAUUCUCAACAGGGUAAGAAGUGAUUUUGCCCUGCCAUACCCAUAUCAGGGGACAUUUGGCAAUGUCUGGAAACAUUUUUGAUGAUCACAACUCGGGAGGGAGUACACUGGCAUUUAGUGGGCAGAGGCCAGGGAUGCUGCCAAACAUGCCACAAUGCACAAGGCAGAAUUAUCUGG
This 1180-nucleotide long non-coding RNA is filed under the name Homo sapiens (human). RNAcentral's name for it is "HSALNT0318720". The record is from RNAcentral. Lineage: Eukaryota; Metazoa; Chordata; Mammalia; Primates; Hominidae.